RNAcentral lists this ribosomal RNA (254 nucleotides) under uncultured bacterium. RNAcentral describes it as "partial 16S ribosomal RNA". It matches the Rfam family "Bacterial small subunit ribosomal RNA", at positions 524 to 776 of the family's 1533-position model. The record is from RNAcentral.
UACGAAGGGGGCUAGCGUUGUUCGGAAUUACUGGGCGUAAAGCGCGCGCAGGCGGUCUUCCAAGUCAGUGGUGAAAGCCCGGAGCUCAACUCCGGAACUGCCAUUGAAACUGUGAGACUUGAGGAUGAGAGAGGUGAGUGGAAUUCCCAGUGUAGAGGUGAAAUUCGUAGAUAUUGGGGAAGAACACCGGUGGCGAAGGCGGCUCACUGGCUCAUUUCUGACGCUCAGGCGCGACAGCGUGGGGAUCAAACAGG